RNAcentral lists this ribosomal RNA (267 nucleotides) under uncultured archaeon. RNAcentral describes it as "partial 16S ribosomal RNA". It matches the Rfam family "Archaeal small subunit ribosomal RNA", at positions 717 to 982 of the family's 1478-position model. The record is from RNAcentral.
AGUCACUGACAUUAGAUACCCGUGUAGUCCAGGGUGUAAACGCUGCAGGCUUGGUGUUGGGAACCCUUCGGGGGUGCUCAGUGCCGGAGAGAAGUUGUUAAGUCUGCUACUUGGGGAGUACGUCCGCAAGGAUGAAAACUUAAAGGAAUUGGCGGGGGAGCACCGCAACGGGAGGAGCGUGCGGUUUAAUUGGAUUCAACGACCGAAAAACUCACCAGCAGCGACUGUUACAUGAAAGUCAGGUUGAUGACCUUACUAGAUUUUCAG